This 253-nucleotide ribosomal RNA is filed under the name uncultured bacterium. Its description in RNAcentral is "partial 16S ribosomal RNA". It matches the Rfam family "Bacterial small subunit ribosomal RNA", at positions 524 to 776 of the family's 1533-position model. The record is from RNAcentral.
UACAGAGGGUGCGAGCGUUGUCCGGAAUCACUGGGCGUAAAGGGCGCGUAGGCGGGAUGGCAAGUCAGUCGUGAAAUCUCUCGGCUCAACCGAGAAACGUCGGCUGAUACUGCCGUUCUUGAGGGAUGCAGAGGAGACUGGAAUUCCCGGUGUAGCGGUGAAAUGUGUAGAGAUCGGGAGGAACACCGGUGGCGAAGGCGGGUCUCUGGGCAUUUCCUGACGCUGAGGCGCGAAAGCGUGGGGAGCAAACGGG